GCAGCAGGCAAGAACGAGCACCUUAACCGAAGUGGCAGGAAGGGAGCCAAGAAGAAAGAGGUUGGUCCACUGUCUGAGAGAGACUGGCAUGAGGCGAAAGCACCAGCUGUGCUUGGCAUAAGGAGUAUGGAAAACACCAGGCACAGGGACGUCAGGAACCAAAAUCACACCCGAUGGCCUCAAGGGCCGUGUUUUUGAAGUCAGUACUGCUCAUCUGCAGAAUGGUGAAGUUGCAUCUGGAAAAUUCAAGCUAAUCACUGAGGAUGUUCAGUGCAAAAACAGCCUGACCAGCUUUCAUGGAAAAAAAAAAAGACCAUGAUUGAAGCUCAUAUGGUUGUCAAAACUACAGAUGAUCAUUUGCCUCAUCUGUUCUGUGCUGCUUUUACUAAAACAGUGCAGCAAGCAGAUUGGGAAGACCUCUCACAGGCAGCACUGGCAGGCCCGUCAAAUCCAGAAAAGAUGGUGGAAAUCAUGGCCCAAGAGGUGCAGACAAAUUACUCGAAAGAAGUGGCCCAUGAAUUGAUGCUAGACAGCACUGGGAGAGACACAGAGAAGGUUCCCCAGUCUAUCCAGGUAUCCUCUCCAGGAUGUCUUCCUUAGAAAAGUAAAAAUGCUUGGGAAGCCCAGGCUUGCAUUGGGAAAACUCAAGCUUUGUGGUGAAGGUCGCUGUCCUGGAAAAGCUACUGGGGAUGAGACCAGUGCUAAAUGUGAAUGAGCUGACGGAUAUGAGCCCCCAGCCCAACAACCUGUUUAA
RNAcentral lists this long non-coding RNA (754 nucleotides) under Homo sapiens (human). RNAcentral's name for it is "non-protein coding lnc-TELO2-4:1". The record is from RNAcentral. Lineage: Eukaryota; Metazoa; Chordata; Mammalia; Primates; Hominidae.